RNAcentral lists this ribosomal RNA (272 nucleotides) under Pavlova sp. CCMP459. RNAcentral describes it as "partial Eukaryotic small subunit ribosomal RNA". It matches the Rfam family "Eukaryotic small subunit ribosomal RNA", at positions 81 to 367 of the family's 1831-position model. Lineage: Eukaryota; Haptophyta; Pavlovophyceae; Pavlovales; Pavlovaceae. The record is from RNAcentral.
GUGAAACUGCGAAUGGCUCAUUAAAUCAGUUAUAGUUUAUUUGAUGGUUUUUGCUACAUGGAUAACUGUGGUAAUUCUAGAGCUAAUACAUGCAUUCAAGCCCCGACUUCUGGAAGGGGUGUAUUUAUUAGAUAAAAAUCAACUUUGUUGGUGAAUCAUAAUAACUUCUCGGACCGCAUGGCCUCGUGCUGGCGGUGCUUCAUUCAAAUAUCUGCCCUAUCAACUGUCGAUGGUAGGAUAGAGGCCUACCAUGGUUGCAACGGGUAACGGGG